GUUGUAAUCGGACGGGAAUGACGCCAGCGAUUGCAAUACAAGCGGACUGGGGGAAAGUAGAUGUAAUACCGCACAUAUCGGUGGCGAAGCUAGUGCCGAUUCUACGAACGACUGGCGGGU
RNAcentral lists this non-coding RNA (120 nucleotides) under unclassified sequences. RNAcentral's name for it is "Betaproteobacteria-1 RNA". It matches the Rfam family "Betaproteobacteria-1 RNA". The record is from Rfam by way of RNAcentral.